RNAcentral lists this long non-coding RNA (1650 nucleotides) under Elaeis guineensis (African oil palm). Its description in RNAcentral is "long non-coding RNA (EGUI_LNC038414)". The record is from RNAcentral. Lineage: Eukaryota; Viridiplantae; Streptophyta; Magnoliopsida; Arecales; Arecaceae.
UUAAAAACAAUGAUUUUAAACAUUCAUGAUUCUUUUAUUUUAAGAUAGGAGUAUUAUAUAAAUUUAUUUAUUGAUUUCCUAAUUGGUGAAAAUAUUUUGGACCAACCACUAAAAUCCACCAUCUUCUAUCCAAGAAGGCUUUGAAGCCUAUUGCAAAAACUACCAACCAGACCCCGAAAACAAAAAUUUCCAUUCAUACUUAAUUUCUUCUCCCAAUUUGCACUGUCAUGAAUUACUUGCUAGGAAUAUACUCUUAUUCAAAACCAUCCACUCCCUACUACACUUGGAAGAAAAUUCAAAAUAAAAUGGUGGCAAGAGUUCAACCCUGAGAAGGCCACCAAAGCCAAGGUUCUUGAAUGGAUUUCCAAACAUCUCAAAAUUUAUUUACAGAUGACCCUUCUGUUGCCAGAUUUCUUCAACAAAAAACUUCCACUAGUUCCAAACUAGCAAAAGCCAAGUCUAGAUUAGAAUAUAAAAAACUUCUUCUAGAAACCCUUGCUCAAAUGGAAGAAGAAGAGGAAACUGAAUCCUCUUCUAAAUCAAGUUGCAAUUCUUCCUCAACUCCACAAUUCAACAUUGACGAAGAAAUUCUAUAGAAAUCCAAAAUAGCUAAGGAUCAUCAACAUUUCAAAGUUCACCAAAACAACCGAAGACAAGAACAGCACAGCAUCCUCUCAAAAGAAGCAUCAUUACUCAAAUACAUAACUCUCAAAAGCAUUGAAGACAGCAUCAGAAGCAUCAACAACAAGUCAUCGUCAUCAACACUUUAUAUCCAAGAUAGCAUUAGAAGCAUCAUUACUCAAAUACAUAACUCUUAAAAGUAUUCAAGACAGCAUCAGAAGCAUCAACAGCAAGCCGUCAUCAUCAACACUUUCUGACCAAUCUUCAGCAGCUAUAGAAAAAAGUUAUUCAAGCACAUGGUUCCAAAAUCACUCCUCCAAGCAAAAGACAAAACCAUCUUCAUUCUUUUUAGCUCUACCCCUGAUUUUUCUUUUAAAAAGAAUAUCAAGGAUAGAGCCUCAAAAGCAGCAAACACUUUUUACUAUCCUAACAAACUUCAGGAUGAAGCCUCAAAAGUAGCAAAUACUUUUCAACAAACUUUGCUUUCAAGUCAGACAUCUUCUAACAAACUUCACCUCCAAGUUACUUUAUCUUCAAGUUACUUCAUCGACAAGUUACUUCAUGGCCAAGUCACUUCAUCCCCAAGAAAGAAGCCUUCUAUAAGAAGACCUCAAGAGCCAACAUUAAAGAACAAGCCUCAGCAAGAAGUAUCAUAGAAGCUUCAACCAAGUAACAUUACAAGCCAGUGAGGAAGUAUUCCACCAAAAAUCUCUUCUGUCUUGUAACACCAAAUCCUCUUCAAAAUCCUUCGCAUCUAAAACCUUUCCCAGUGUAGUCCAUUGUGGAAAAACCCUUUAUGUUGGGAUUCAAAAUAGAUUAGGAUCAAAAACCUUUGUUUCAAGCUUGUAUCCCAAAAGGCUUCAGCUAGAGAAAGUGAAGCAAGCUCCCUGAAGCCAUCCUAUAUUCAAAAUCCUUGUAGCUUCUCACCGUGUAAAUUUCAAAUGUUUAUUCAAAUGAAGUUUUAGUUCUGUUUCAAUGUUAUUUCAAUCUGUUUAAACUAUAUUCAAAUUUGCCUUAGUUUUGUUCAAA